UACGAAGGGGGCUAGCGUUGUUCGGAAUUACUGGGCGUAAAGCGCACGUAGGCGGAUAUUUAAGUCAGGGGUGAAAUCCCGCAGCUCAACUGCGGAACUGCCUUUGAUACUGGGUAUCUUGAGUAUGGAAGAGGUAAGUGGAAUUGCGAGUGUAGAGGUGAAAUUCGUAGAUAUUCGCAGGAACACCAGUGGCGAAGGCGGCUUACUGGUCCAUUACUGACGCUGAGGAGCGAAAGCUAGGGGAGCAAACGGGG
Molecule: ribosomal RNA, 254 nt
Filed under: uncultured bacterium
Lineage: Bacteria
Description: partial 16S ribosomal RNA
Rfam family: Bacterial small subunit ribosomal RNA
Source: RNAcentral